This 393-nucleotide ribosomal RNA is filed under the name Boophis luciae. RNAcentral's name for it is "partial 16S ribosomal RNA". It matches the Rfam family "Bacterial large subunit ribosomal RNA", at positions 2038 to 2597 of the family's 2925-position model. The record is from RNAcentral. Lineage: Eukaryota; Metazoa; Chordata; Amphibia; Anura; Mantellidae.
GAAAUUGAUCUCCCCGUGAAGAAGCGGGGAUAUAAAUAUAAGACGAGAAGACCCCAUGGAGCUUUAAACCCAACAACACCUAUCUAUUUUAUUCCCCCAUAUUUAUACGGUUAUGUUUGUUUGGUUUUAGGUUGGGGUGACCGCGGAGUAUAAAACAACCUCCACGAAGAAAAGACUAAUAAUCUUUAUCAGAGAAAGACAUUUCUAAGAAACAAUAUAUUAACUUUAAAUGAUCCGAUAUUCGAUUAACGAAUCAAGUUACCCUGGGGAUAACAGCGCAAUCCACCUUAAGAGCCCUUAUCGACAGGUGGGUUUACGACCUCGAUGUUGGAUCAGGGUAUCACAGUGGUGCAGCAGCUACUAAUGGUUCGUUUGUUCAACGAUUAAAACCCU